GAUGAACGCUGGCGGCAGGCCUAAUACAUGCAAGUCGAACGAGAUUAAGAGGCUUGCUUCUUAUGAAAGUGGCGCACGGGUGCGUAACGCGUAUGCAACCUACCUUAAUCAGGGGGAUAGCCCGAAGAAAUUCGGAUUAAGACCGCAUAAAAACACAGGAUAGCAUUAUCCAAUGUUCAAAUAUUUAUAGGAUUAAGAUGGGCAUGCGUGUCAUUAGCUAGUUGGCGGGGUAACGGCCCACCAAGGCGACGAUGACUAGGGGAUCUGAGAGGAUGACCCCCCACACUGGUACUGAGACACGGACCAGACUCCUACGGGAGGCAGCAGUAAGGAAUAUUGGUCAAUGGAGGGAACUCUGAACCAGCCAUGCCGCGUGCAGGAAGACAGCCCUCUGGGUCGUAAACUGCUUUUAUUCGGGAAUAAACCUUUCUACGUGUAGGAAGCUGAAUGUACCGAAGGAAUAAGGAUCGGCUAACUCCGUG
This 482-nucleotide ribosomal RNA is filed under the name uncultured bacterium. RNAcentral's name for it is "partial 16S ribosomal RNA". It matches the Rfam family "Bacterial small subunit ribosomal RNA", at positions 28 to 507 of the family's 1533-position model. The record is from RNAcentral.